CUUAGACUGUUAAAUAGAGUAGCU
Molecule: non-coding RNA, 24 nt
Filed under: Cricetulus griseus (Chinese hamster)
Lineage: Eukaryota; Metazoa; Chordata; Mammalia; Rodentia; Cricetidae
Source: RNAcentral